This is a long non-coding RNA of Antechinus flavipes (yellow-footed antechinus), 757 nucleotides long. RefSeq lists it as uncharacterized. The transcript is spliced from 3 exons. NCBI's taxonomy places the organism in Eukaryota, Metazoa, Chordata, Mammalia, Dasyuromorphia, Dasyuridae. The record is from RefSeq and is a predicted model, not a curated record.
UUUGCCAUGCAGCUUGGUUUGAAAGAAAACCAUUCUAUUACUAGGGGCCAAGGGAGUUGUUGAGAACAAAAUCAUGUCCCAAGAAAGGAGUGAAUCUCAGAAAAGCCCUGCUGAUACAAAGAUGGGGAACGGGAAGGGGCUCAUUUUACAGAUGGGGAAACUGAAGCAAACCUGGUGAAGUUACUUGCCUAGGAUCACAUAACCAAGUUCAACUGCCCUAAGAGAUAUGACUUCUCGCACUCUGACAUGAAGAAUGACUAGAACAUGAUGCACAAGAAGGGCUCUAUAUGGCCACGGGCAAAUUCAAGAAGAUCAGAAGAGGAGAUGUGGAAACUUCCAAGAAUAGGGCUGUUGGUCAAAACAAACAGCAUCCCUUCACAGAGAACACAAUAAGCUGGACCAAGAACUAUGAAAUUUCAUUAUGCCAGAGUCAUCCUAGAAGUGGGCAAAGUGAUCCAAGAGGGGCUGCAGAAUAAGGGACUGACACAGAAGAAUCUAGCCACAAAAAUCGAUGGCUGUUUAUGACCCAAGGCAAGCUUUGAAAUCUAUAAAACCUAGAUUCAACUCCUGUCUUUAAAGUAUAAAAGAUUGUGAUUCUUGGUGAUUCACUUAAUUCCUCUGUGCCCUAAGCAAUUCUCUUAAGUCUGAGAUGAGUCACUCGUCUGAAUUGUGGGAAAGAGUUUUCUCCACUGGAAAUGUUCUGCCUUAGUGAAACAAUAGACUCAGAGCAAUAGUAAAAAGAAUUUCUCCAAUUAGA